AGUGAACGCUAGCGGUGCGCCUAACACAUGCAAGUCGAAUGCUCACCAUUUUGUACUUUUGUCUGCGAACACAGUCCUCUCAAAGAACUGUUUCCACCAUGAGAGUUUAAAAUGGUGAGCAUGGCGAACGGCUGCGUAACACGUUGGUACCUGCCCCCGAACUCAGGGAUAACCCGCCGAAAGGCGGAGUAAUACCGGAUCGCCCCCCGCACCAUUUUGUACUUUGGUCUGCGGANACAGCUCCCUCAAGGAACUGUUUCCACCAGGAGAGUCUAAAAUGGUGUGGGGGAAAGAUUUAUCGGUUCGGGAGGGGCCUGCGGCCUAUCAGCUAGUUGGUAAGGUAACGGCUUACCAAGGCGAUGACGGGUAGCUGGUUUGAGAGAACGACCAGCCAGAAUGGGACUGAGACACGGCCCAUACUCCGUACGGGAGGCAGCAGUGA
RNAcentral lists this ribosomal RNA (442 nucleotides) under uncultured bacterium. RNAcentral describes it as "bacterial SSU rRNA". It matches the Rfam family "Bacterial small subunit ribosomal RNA", at positions 29 to 357 of the family's 1533-position model. The record is from RNAcentral.